Molecule: non-coding RNA, 187 nt
Filed under: Desulfotignum phosphitoxidans DSM 13687
Lineage: Bacteria; Pseudomonadati; Thermodesulfobacteriota; Desulfobacteria; Desulfobacterales; Desulfobacteraceae
Description: 6S / SsrS RNA
Rfam family: 6S / SsrS RNA
About the family: E. coli 6S RNA was the first non coding RNA to be sequenced, but its function was unknown until recently. It consists of 184 nucleotides that fold into an extended hairpin structure with a large single-stranded internal bulge.
Source: Rfam by way of RNAcentral
AACCCCCUGCAAUGUGCGUGAUUGUACGAUAGACUUUGUCCUAACGCAUAUAGAAAGGGAACUCACACUGAUACCGGUGCGCAGGUUCCUCGUCAGUAAGGAAAAGCCUGAAGGUAUUAACUGAGUGCCCACUUUUGAACCAAUGGUUCAAAGCCUUUAAAACAACACGGCAAUUUGCGGGGGCAAC